Long non-coding RNA from Homo sapiens (human), 631 nucleotides. RefSeq lists it as uncharacterized. The record is from RefSeq and is a predicted model, not a curated record. Lineage: Eukaryota; Metazoa; Chordata; Mammalia; Primates; Hominidae. The transcript has 2 exons.
AAUGGCACAUUAACAAAAUUCCAAUAAUGAAUAUGAUGGUGACAAAGCAGAGAGAAAGCACAAACAAUAGGAGGAAAUGUUGAAAGAUUCCCUUUCAUCUCCUAACGGCAGUCUGAGGCUGGACAUGUCUACUCCUGGGAAUAGAAUCCAAGGGCAAAAGUCCCUCACGAUAAGGAGGCCACAUUUUGAGCUGAAACGUAUGAACACCACAGCUUCAGGGCCAGGCAAAGUUGGGUUUGUGUCCCAGCAGUACAACUCUCCAGACUUUGAGCCUCACUCUCCUCUUCUAUACAAUGGAGCCAAUGACACCUCUUUCCUGUGUAUUAGAAACACCACCUAAGAAGAUGUAGAUAAAGUGACUGCAAGGUAAGAAUUCCAUAAAUAUUAACUCCCCUCCCCACCAUAUCAGAGAACCCUAAAGUUGAGAACUGCAUUUCUGUACAUAUCACUAUAUUAAAAACCUAAAGGGGAAAAAAAUGGACUAUUCUAGUGACUACUUGUUCAUCUCCCACUCAAAUGCCAAAAAAUGUUUUUUCAAGGGAAACAAAAUAGUAGGAAAAGGAAGGAUGCUUUAAAAAAAAAAAAAAAAGUCUCUCUUCUCCCUUGCCCUAAAAAAAAAAAAAAAUGGUUU